Molecule: transfer RNA, 69 nt
Filed under: Tamandua mexicana (Mexican collared anteater)
Lineage: Eukaryota; Metazoa; Chordata; Mammalia; Pilosa; Myrmecophagidae
Also listed under: 1 other name
Description: tRNA-Tyr
Rfam family: tRNA
About the family: Transfer RNA (tRNA) molecules are approximately 80 nucleotides in length. Their secondary structure includes four short double-helical elements and three loops (D, anti-codon, and T loops).
Source: RNAcentral
GGUAAAAUGGCUGAGUUGAGGCAUUAGACUGUAAAUCUAAACACAGAGGCAUGGCGUCUCUUUUUACCA